GUGGGUAUAGCGUAGUUGGUUAACGCGUCAGAUUGUGGCUCUGAAGACCCAGGGUUCGAGUCCCUGUACCCACC
Molecule: transfer RNA, 74 nt
Filed under: Bacillota bacterium
Lineage: Bacteria; Bacillati; Bacillota
Description: Firmicutes bacterium (gut metagenome) tRNA-His
Rfam family: tRNA
About the family: Transfer RNA (tRNA) molecules are approximately 80 nucleotides in length. Their secondary structure includes four short double-helical elements and three loops (D, anti-codon, and T loops).
Source: RNAcentral